RNAcentral lists this ribosomal RNA (468 nucleotides) under uncultured bacterium. RNAcentral's name for it is "partial 16S ribosomal RNA". It matches the Rfam family "Bacterial small subunit ribosomal RNA", at positions 28 to 507 of the family's 1533-position model. The record is from RNAcentral.
GACGAACGCUGGCGGCGUGCUUAACACAUGCAAGUCGAACGGAAAGGCCCUGCUUUUGUUGUGUGCUCGAGUUGCUCACGUGUGAGUAACACGUGAGUCACCUGCCCUUUACUUUGGGAUAACUUCAGGAAACUUGGGCUACUACCGCUUAUUAGCUCCUGCUGCGUGGUGUGGUUUGGAUAGUUUCGGCGGGUGGGGAUGGACUCGCGGCUUAUCAGCUUGUUGGUGGGGUAGUGGCUUACCAAGGCUUUGACGGGUAGCCGGCCUGAGAGGGUGAACGGCCACAUGGGGAAGGAGAUACGGCCAAGACGCAGACGGGAGGCAGGAGUGGGGAAUAGUGCACAAUGGGCGGAAGGCUGAGGCAGGAACGCCGGGUGUGGGAUGACGGACUUCGGGUUGUAAAGCGCAUUCGCCUGUGACGAAGCGUGAGUGACGGUAAUGGGUAAAGAAGCACCGGCUAACUACGUG